UCGUACGCGGACGAACUUUCGGGGUUAAGUAGAGUGGCGAACGGGUUAGUAACGCGUGGGAACAUACACAGCACAGGGGGAUAACCAUUGGAAACGAUGGCUAAUACCGCAUACGCCCUAUUGGGGAAAGAUUUAUCGGUGUUGGAUUGGCCCGCGUUAGAUUAGCUAGUUGGUGGGGUAAUGGCUCACCAAGGCGACGAUUUAUAGCUGGUUUGAGAGGAUGAUCAGCAACACUGGAACUGAGACACGGUCCAGACUCCUACGGGAGGCAGCAGUCGGGAAUAUUGUGCAAUGGGGGCAACCCUGACACAGCCAUGCCGCGUGAGUGAAGAAGGCCUUAGGGUUGUAAAGCUCUUUCAGAUGUGAGGAUGAUGACGAUAGCAUCAGAAGAAGCUCCGGCUAACUUCGUGCCAGCAGCCGCGGUAAUACGAAGGGAGCUAGCGUUGUUCGGAAUUAC
This 457-nucleotide ribosomal RNA is filed under the name uncultured bacterium. RNAcentral describes it as "bacterial SSU rRNA". It matches the Rfam family "Bacterial small subunit ribosomal RNA", at positions 62 to 554 of the family's 1533-position model. The record is from RNAcentral.